RNAcentral lists this ribosomal RNA (253 nucleotides) under uncultured bacterium. RNAcentral's name for it is "partial 16S ribosomal RNA". It matches the Rfam family "Bacterial small subunit ribosomal RNA", at positions 524 to 776 of the family's 1533-position model. The record is from RNAcentral.
UACGGGGGGUGCAAGCGUUAUUCGGAUUUACUGGGCGUAAAGCGCGCGCAGGCGGUUUUGUAAGUCAGAUGUGAAAGCCCUGGGCUCAACCCGGGAAGUGCACCUGAUACUGCAAGACUUGAGUAUGGGAGAGGGAAGUGGAAUUCCUGGUGUAGAGGUGAAAUUCGUAGAUAUCAGGAGGAACAUCGGUGGCGAAGGCGACUUCCUGGACCAAUACUGACGCUGAGGCGCGAAGGCGUGGGGAGCAAACAGG